UACGUAGGGCGCAAGCGUUGUCCGGAAUUAUUGGGCGUAAAGAGCGUGUAGGCGGUCCGGUAAGUCCGCUGUGAAAGUCCAGGGCUCAACCCUGGAAUGCCGGUGGAUACUGCCGGGCUAGAGUCCGGAAGAGGCGAGUGGAAUUCCUGGUGUAGCGGUGAAAUGCGCAGAUAUCAGGAGGAACACCGAUGGCGAAGGCAGCUCGCUGGGACGGUACUGACGCUGAGACGCGAAAGCGUGGGGAGCAAACAGG
Molecule: ribosomal RNA, 253 nt
Filed under: uncultured bacterium
Lineage: Bacteria
Description: partial 16S ribosomal RNA
Rfam family: Bacterial small subunit ribosomal RNA
Source: RNAcentral